AUGCACGCUGGCGGCGUGCCUCAUCCCUGCCAGUCGAGCGAACAGACGAGGAGCUUGCUCCUCUGACGUUAGCGGCGGACGGGUGAGUAACACGUGGAUAACCUACCUAUAAGACUGGGAUAACUUCGGGAAACCGGAGCUAAUACCGGAUAAUAUAUUGAACCGCAUGGUUCAAUAGUGAAAGACGGUUUUGCUGUCACUUAUAGAUGGAUCCGCGCCGCAUUAGCUAGUUGGUAAGGUAACGGCUUACCAAGGCAACGAUGCGUAGCCGACCUGAGAGGGUGAUCGGCCACACUGGAACUGAGACACGGUCCAGACUCCUACGGGAGGCAGCAGUAGGGAAUCUUCCGCAAUGGGCGAAAGCCUGACGGAGCAACGCCGCGUGAGUGAUGAAGGUCUUCGGAUCGUAAAACUCUGUUAUUAGGGAAGAACAAAUGUGUAAGUAACUAUGCACGUCUUGACGGUACCUAAUCAGAAAGCCGCGGCUAACUACGUG
This 496-nucleotide ribosomal RNA is filed under the name uncultured bacterium. RNAcentral describes it as "partial 16S ribosomal RNA". It matches the Rfam family "Bacterial small subunit ribosomal RNA", at positions 29 to 507 of the family's 1533-position model. The record is from RNAcentral.